RNAcentral lists this ribosomal RNA (677 nucleotides) under uncultured Methanosarcinales archaeon. RNAcentral's name for it is "bacterial SSU rRNA". It matches the Rfam family "Archaeal small subunit ribosomal RNA", at positions 322 to 999 of the family's 1478-position model. The record is from RNAcentral. Lineage: Archaea; Methanobacteriati; Methanobacteriota; Methanomicrobia; Methanosarcinales.
CCUAGGGGGGGCAGCAGGCGCGAAAACUUUACAAUGCUGGAAACAGCGAUAAGGGGACCUCGAGUGCCAGGUUACAAAUCUGGCUGUCGUGAUGCCUAAAAAGCAUUGCAUAGCAAGGGCCGGGCAAGACCGGUGCCAGCCGCCGCGGUAACACCGGCGGCUCGAGUGGUAACCGUUAUUAUUGGGUCUAAAGGGUCUGUAGCCGGCCGGAUAAGUCUCUUGGGAAAUCUGGCAGCUUAACUGUCAGGCUUUCAGGGGAUACUGUCUGGCUCGAGGCCGGGAGAGGUGAGAGGUACUUCAGGGGUAGGGGUGAAAUCUUGUAAUCCUUGAAGGACCACCAGNGGCGAAGGCGUCUCACCAGAACGGACCUGACGGCAAGGGACGAAAGCUAGGGGCACGAACCGGAUUAGAUACCCGGGUAGUCCUAGCCGUAAACGAUGCCCGCUAGGUGUCACGACGGUCGUGAAUCGUCGUGGUGCCGUAGGGAAGCCGCGAAGCGGGCCACUUGGGAAGUACGGCCGCAAGGCUGAAACUUAAAGGAAUUGGCGGGGGCGCACCACAAGGGGUGCGGCGUGCGGUUUAAUUGGAUUCAACGCCGGAAAUCUUACCGGGACCGACAGCAAUAUGAAGGCCAGGCUGAAGACUUUGCCGGAUUAGCUGAGCGCCGGUGCAUGGCC